GUUUCCCGUUGCUUUGCUGGACAACAAAGCACGGGUUCUCUCUCAGGUAACCGCGUUGAUGUCCUGCAAAGAAAUCGGACGC
Molecule: microRNA precursor, 82 nt
Filed under: Petromyzon marinus (sea lamprey)
Lineage: Eukaryota; Metazoa; Chordata; Hyperoartia; Petromyzontiformes; Petromyzontidae
Description: microRNA pma-mir-4563 precursor
Source: miRBase by way of RNAcentral